RNAcentral lists this ribosomal RNA (710 nucleotides) under Musonia sp. MN722. RNAcentral describes it as "eukaryotic LSU rRNA". It matches the Rfam family "Eukaryotic large subunit ribosomal RNA", at positions 1249 to 1882 of the family's 3401-position model. The record is from RNAcentral. Lineage: Eukaryota; Metazoa; Arthropoda; Insecta; Mantodea; Thespidae.
UGGCCAUGGAAGUCGGAAGCCGCUAAGGAGUGUGUAACAACUCACCUGCCGAAGCAACUAGCCCUGAAAAUGGAUGGCGCUAAAGCUCCGUGCCUAUACCCGGCCGCCGGAAGGCAUAGGCGUGAGCCGCUCUCGGGCGGCGAGCGCGCGAAGCCCCGGCGAGUAGGAGGGCGCGGCGGUGAGCGCGGAAGGGUCUGGGCGUGAGCCUGCCUGGAGCCGCCGCCGGUGCAGAUCUUGGUGGUAGUAGCAAAUACUCAAGCGAGGGCCUUGAGGGCUGAUGUGGAGAAGGGUUUCGUGUGAACAGCCGUUGCACACGAGUCAGUCGAUCCUAAGCCCUAGGAGAAAUCCGAUGUCGAUGUGGGGGGCUUAAAACACUCCCCCUCGAUGGGCGAAAGGGAAUCCGGUUCCUAUUCCGGAACCCGGCAGCGGAACCGAAUGUACGGGCCCUCCAUCGAGAAGCUCGUCGGGGUAACCCAAAGGGACCCGGAGACGCCGUCGGGAGACCCGGGCAGAGUUUUCUGUUCUGCAUAAGCGUUCGAGUUCCCUGGAAUCCUCUAGCAGGGAGAUAGGGUUUGGAACGCGAAGAGCACCGCAGUUGCGGCGGUGUCCGGGUCGUCCCCUCGGACCUUGAAAAUCCGGGAGAGGGUCACGCGGAGGUGUCGCGCCGGCUCGUACCCAUAUCCGCAGCAGGUCUCCAAGGUGAAGAGCCU